CGAGACGAACGCUGGCGGCGUGCCUAAUACAUGCAAGUCGAACGGUCUUUUCUAUGGAAGCUUGCUUCCACUGAGAAGAUAGUGGCGAACGGGUGAGUAACACGUGGGUAACCUGCCCAUAAGAGGGGGAUAACAUCCGGAAACGGGUGCUAAUACCGCAUAGUUUUCUUGAUCGCAUGAUUGAGAAAGGAAAGACGGCCUUUGUGCUGUCGCUUAUGGAUGGACCCGCGGCGUAUUAGUUAGUUGGUGAGGUAACGGCUCACCAAGACGAUGAUACGUAGCCGACCUGAGAGGGUGAUCGGCCACAUUGGGACUGAGACACGGCCCAAACUCCUACGGGAGGCAGCAGUAGGGAAUCUUCCGCAAUGGACGAAAGUCUGACGGAGCAACGCCGCGUGAGUGAAGAAAAGGUUUUCGGAUCGUAAAACUCUGUUGUCAGAGAAGAACAAGUUGGAGAGUAACUGCUCCAGCCUUGACGGUAUCUGACCAGAAAGCCACGGCUAACUACGUGCCAGCCGCAGC
Molecule: ribosomal RNA, 522 nt
Filed under: uncultured bacterium
Lineage: Bacteria
Description: bacterial SSU rRNA
Rfam family: Bacterial small subunit ribosomal RNA
Source: RNAcentral